CGAGUCUUCUCAGAGGUUGGAGAUUCCCUGUCUUCUCCAACCUCUGCCAAGUCUUCAGAGAGGUUGGAGUGCGCCUGUCGGAGGUCGGGGCCAGCCCACCUUGCUCUCUGGUACUAGACCCCAGAUGAGGAUCUCAGGAAGAUCCACAAAGCUGCGUCCAGGGGAACGAACGUGUGGAAGCUGCAGCGGAGCCUCCUGCUCAAGAGUAAAGGACCGGUCUGAAACCUACAAGAACAGAAGAGCCAUGUGACGGGAUCCGUGGUUUGGCAGAGGAGACAUGCGAGAAGACGGAACGUUUUGUCCGAAUAGACAUCUGGCAGGGUGGAACGGAGAGAACAGGUAUGGUGGAGAGAACGUCUGAGAAGGUCGCAGGAUUCGCAGGAGCAUCGGGAAAAGAUUGCCUGCUUGCCCGAAGGAAUGGCAAGUUCCAAAGCUGUGCUGUGGGCAGUGUUUAGUUCAUGUCUGCUUUGCUGGCGGGCCGAGUAGCAACAGCUGCAGUUGGUGUGUUCUCUGAAGGCAGUAUCCGAAGGCUGGAGGGGUUGCUUUUCUUCCCAGGUGUCUUUUGAAGAGGCAGUCAAGUCAGCAGCUCGCGGUGACCUUCUGGUAACAUCGUAUGGGCUGGGUUACAGCACAUGCCGACUGCUAAGCCGGUCACUGGGGAAAACCAUG
Molecule: long non-coding RNA, 669 nt
Filed under: Homo sapiens (human)
Lineage: Eukaryota; Metazoa; Chordata; Mammalia; Primates; Hominidae
Description: HSALNT0346948
Source: RNAcentral